This 2292-nucleotide long non-coding RNA is filed under the name Mus musculus (house mouse). RNAcentral describes it as "long non-coding RNA chr17:83370129-83372421". Lineage: Eukaryota; Metazoa; Chordata; Mammalia; Rodentia; Muridae. The record is from RNAcentral.
AUUUUACAGAAUAGUGAUUUUUUUCUGUAUUGUUUCCAUAUGUACAUAUAUUUAUUCAGAUCUAGUAAAUGUAGUCUCUGGCUUCUCCCUUUCUCCAGCCUUUUUCUUUUCUUCAUUCCUUCUCUUCUUUCAGAGUAUUUGGUUUUGCUUUUAAGAUGCCAUAUGUGAGAGCAAACCUCUGCAUGACUGGAUACUCUGCACUGAGUGGGUACUCUGUCUGGGUUUGUUGUGUUUCCAAUUAAAAUCUUUCUUGCUUACUCUUUGUGAGGAAGAUCGUUGGCAUUUUGAUGGUAUUACAUAGAAUCCAUACCAAUUUUGGUUGGUAAUAUGGCCAUUUUCAGUGUUACCAUGGGGUGCCCUUCUGUCUUCUAGUGUUCACUUUCUUUCCCGUCACUCAGUAGUUUUUAUUUUAGUGAUCUUCCACCUUGGUUAGGUGAUUUCUUAGAAUGAAUGGGAAUACACACACACACACACACACACACACACACACACACACACACACACACAUAAAAGUUAUUUUAAGUUAUUGUGAAUGGGAUUUUUCUUACAACUUAUUUCUUGAUUAGCUCCUAGAGUAUAAAGACAAGCUACUAGGUUUUGUGAGUUGUUCUUUGUCCUGCUACAUUGUUGACUUUGUUUCAGUUCUCAAAGACUGUAGUUUCUUUCAGGACUAUGUAUGGUCUGCCAGCAGGGAUGGGUUCCCCUCUGCUUCCCUCUCAUUGUCUUGCCUUUAACAGUUCAGAAGAGUUCAGGAGCGUGUCUGUCAAGUCCACGCUUUAAUCAUAGUGUCACUGGCUCCUACUGCUCUGUUUUGUAUUUAGGUAAAUUUUGGUGGGUUAUCUGGAAAUUUCCCUGUUUCUUCUAAAAUUUUCUGUUCAUUGUAAUACAGUUUUAAAAAUAUUCUCUAAUGAUAUCUGGAUUUCAGUUAUAUCUUUUAAUGACCCCAUCCUCUCCUCUGUGUUACUUCCCUCUUCCACUUUACUUUGGCCAUGGGUUUGUAGCUCUUGUUUAUCUUCUCAAAGAUCCAACUGUUUCUUUGUUAUUUUUAUUAUUUGGGUUUGUUUUUUUUUUUUGGUCUCUGACUCACUAUUGCUUUGAUCUUCAUUUUCUUCUGCUGAUUUGGGAUUUGGUUUGUUCUUGCUGUUUAAGACCUGGAGAUGCAUUGUUAGAUACCUCAUCCUUCAUCCCUCGGGUACUCAGAGCUACAAACUUCUAUUUUAGAUUGCAUUUUUGGUAUCCCAUAGAUUUAUUUGUAUGGUUUCUAUAAUUUGAAUCCAUAAUUUAAAAAAUGUCCCAUUUUUCUUCAGUGAGUCACUGUUCAUUUAAACUGUUCUGUUCAGCCUCCCCUUUUCAUAGUUAUUUCUGCUGUUGCUUUCUAGUUUUAUUCUAUUACAAUGUGAUAAGUAGAAUAGCUCCCCCAACCCAACUUGUUUCAUGCCAUAAGACAUCUGUGACUUUGCUUCUUUUUGUUGCUGUGGCCAAGGCCACUUAUAGAAGGAUUUAUUUGGGCUAAUGGUUCUGGAGGGAUAAGAAGCCAUCAAUGUCACAGGGAAGGGUGGCAACAGGCAGACAAGUGGCUGGUACACAUGAAGAGUCCCACAUCUUCAAACUCAAGCAGAAAGCAGAGAACUGGUACUGGUAUGUAGUUUACAAACCUCAAAGCCUGCCUCAAGUGACGUUUCCUCUAGGAAGGCCACACCUCCUAAACCUACCCAAACAGUGUCACCAGUUGUGUUGUCAUUUAAAUACCUGAGCCUAAGGGGACAUUCUCAAACACCACAAUUAGAUGAAGAGAGUGUAUAUUCUGUAGCUGUUGGAUGGAAUACUCUGUAGAUAAUCUAUUAAACCCAUGUGAUGUAUAGAGUAGUUUAAUGCUUCUCGGUUGAUCUCCCUCUUUACCCAACUGCAUCUUCAGGUAAAAUAGCAUUUUGUUAAAAUCACUGUUAAUAUAUUAUACUUUAUGUCCAGUAGUGUUUGAAUUAUGAAGUUGAGUGUUUAAACAUAACAGUGAGUCUGUGUGUGUGUGUGUGUGUGUGUGUGUGUGUGUGUGUGUGUGUGUGUCUCUGUCUGUCUGUGCGAGCAUGCACAGGAUAUCUCUUCUCAGGGCUGGAGACAGCUCAGCAGUUAAGAACACUGUCUGCUCUUCUAGAGGACCCAGAUUUAAUUCCUAGCACCCAUAAAGCAGUUUAUACCUGUCUGUUACUCCAGUUCCAGGGGAUCAGAUACCCACACAGAUACACAUGCAGGCAAAACACCAAUGUACAUAAAAAUAAAAUCAUUUUUAAAAUUACU